This is a long non-coding RNA of Vitis riparia (riverbank grape), 419 nucleotides long. RefSeq lists it as uncharacterized. NCBI's taxonomy places the organism in Eukaryota, Viridiplantae, Streptophyta, Magnoliopsida, Vitales, Vitaceae. The transcript has 2 exons. The record is from RefSeq and is a predicted model, not a curated record.
GAUCAGUUUGAUACCUGGUUGAAAGAAGCUCUCCUUGAUGGAAGAUAUGAAGACAUAAAUCACUAUGAAGAGAAGGCACCGCAUGCCAGAGAGGCCCACCCAUGGCCAGAACACUUCUAUCCAUUGCAUGUAGCCAUGGGUGCUGCUGGCGAAAAUGCAAAAGCCAAACUCAUCCAUCAUAGCUGGAGCCUCGGUACUCUCUCUUAUGCCUCUUACCAGUUCACAACAACAGCCACCUGAAAUUUCCAUCAUCAAAUCUUGCUGUUCUUCGGUCCUUCCUUUGUGAAUAAGUACCGAGACUGUUACUUACAUAUUAAUUCAUCCCUGCUUGUAUGAUUAAUAUAUAGUAACCAUUAUAAGAUUGAAACAUGUUAUUGGAAUUGUCAUUGUUAUAAGUUGGUAUUUACGUUUGAUGUUCA